GAUCUUUCCCUUCAGUGAUUCUCUGAGCUAUGUGGACUAUGCAGAUCUUGUUUAGGAGUAUCUUCAAUUUUCUGGACCCUGUUACCUUCAGUCUGAUGAAGUCUGCAGUAUCUGGACAUCCUUUAUGCCACUUCUGCCCAGUUCUUCUUGGCAGUGACUGUGGCCUGCUGACCUAUACCAUGCAACUCUCCAUUGCCCUGUUCUCUCCCCCUCCAACCUUCUCCCACAGAAACUAGAAAUAGAAUGAAUAAAGUAGACAACAGAAAGCCAUUGAAUAUUACUGAGCAGUGAAGAACAUCUCAAAGAAGCUUAACCUGGCAGUUCUAUGGAGCAGGGAUUAGAGGAAGGAGAGAAGAAAGUGGGAAGAUGUUACAAGACUAUUGCAGUAGACCAAGAUGGUGAUGAGGAGGAUAUGUUCUAGCAUACAAGAUAGCAGGAACAGAGAGUGGAUCAUGAUUAGAAGAACACAUCUUCAAUCAAGACUGGAAGAUGGCGAAUGGCAUGCGGACCAGAAGAAGGACCAGAGAGAAAGAAAGAGUUUCUACAAGCAACAUGAAUGGACAUGGAAGGAAUUUGGAACUUUGAAAUCUUGGAACUUUUGGCCAUGUGGAUAUGUAAGGAUGUUUCAUACAUGUGAACAUCACAUAUAUAUGCAUGCACAUCCUACAUAGCAAAGUAAGAUAUCUCAUGGAAUGGGUAAGUAUACGCCAUGCAUAGUUGCAAAACAAAUAGACACACUGACAAAAUUUCUGUGGAAAAUUCAAACAGCUAAAGAUACUUCUUUUCUGCAUGAGUUUGCACAGAAAUUUAGAGUGAUGUACAUGUUUAAACUUGUAUGGAUCCUAUGUACAUAUGUAAGUACUAAUAACUAACAUGCUAACUAUAUUAGAGUAGUUUAUUAAUAUAUUCUAAGACACUGUCUUUGUUCAGGUCUUAGAAAGUAGAGACAUAGACGUUCUGAAGUAUAGAAGUUAGAUUGUAUCAUAAUGGUAGAUUAGCAUUUGUUAGUAUUAGAAGAUUUACUUAGUGACUAUAUAGACAUUAGGAUAAGACGUUUGCAUGUUCAAUAUGUUAUUGACAUUGUUGAGAUGAUUUGAACGUUGUUACUUGAGUUGUUGUGAUGUGAAACUAUGUUCAUGUAAAUCCCUUACCUAAAUCAUUUUCCUAUCCCACUCUUAGCUUAGCAUUUAGGUAGUUAGAAUAGCUAAGAUGAGUUAGGAUUUUGUUAUUUUGGGGGGAUAAGGGUAUACUUAUAACAGAGCAGAGUUAACAUAGAUAGAUAGGAUUAUUAUUAAGGUAAGUAUCAUUGAAAAAUGCAAGUUGAAUUUUUUUUUCCAAUAAAAGGAGGGAUUGUGGGAGAGACUUGAAGAAA
This 1372-nucleotide long non-coding RNA is filed under the name Monodelphis domestica (gray short-tailed opossum). RNAcentral's name for it is "lncRNA (ENSMODG00000049486.1)". Lineage: Eukaryota; Metazoa; Chordata; Mammalia; Didelphimorphia; Didelphidae. The record is from RNAcentral.